GUCAGAAUGGCCGAGUGGUCUAAGGCGCCAGACCCAAGUUCUGGUCCCCGAAAGGGGUUUGUGGGUUCGAAUCCCACUUCUGACA
Non-coding RNA from Onychomys torridus (southern grasshopper mouse), 85 nucleotides. Lineage: Eukaryota; Metazoa; Chordata; Mammalia; Rodentia; Cricetidae. The record is from the annotation of a RefSeq genome assembly.